CUCCCAGACUCCUACGGGAGGCAGCAGUGGGGAAUAUUGGACAAUGGGGGGAACCCUGAUCCAGCGACGCCGCGUGAGUGAAGAAGUAUUUCGGUAUGUAAAUCUCUAUCAGCAGGGAAGAAAGAAAUGACGGUACCUGACUAAGAAGCCCCGGCUAACUACGUGCCAGCAGCCGCGGUAAUACGUAGGGGGCAAGCGUUAUCCGGAUUUACUGGGUGUAAAGGGAGCGUAGACGGCAUGGCAAGUCUGAUGUGAAAACCCGGGGCUCAACCCCGGGACUGCAUUGGAAACUGUCAGGCUAGAGUGUCGGAGAGGCAAGUGGAAUUCCUAGUGUAGCGGUGAAAUGCGUAGAUAUUAGGAGGAACACCAGUGGCGAAGGCGGCUUGCUGGACGAUGACUGACGUUGAGGCUCGAAAGCGUGGGGAGCAAACAGGAUUAGAUACCCGCGUAGCU
Molecule: ribosomal RNA, 453 nt
Filed under: uncultured bacterium
Lineage: Bacteria
Description: bacterial SSU rRNA
Rfam family: Bacterial small subunit ribosomal RNA
Source: RNAcentral